UCAUCUUGUUCAACAAAAAAUAGCAUAAAUAAUUAUAUCGAUAGCUUCUAAUCAUGUCAUUUAGAUAAUUCCUAAAAAAAUGCAUGUUUAAUUCCUUAUCUUAAAAUAGACGCGCGCAAUUUUGAACCCAUUUCGAUCCGCCAUAUUGCUCAUGAGGUUUUACAAGGUUUAUGACGGAUGAUGUAAUGCCUAGCUUUACCGUGAAGGGGAAAAGGAGAAAAUGACUUUCCAAAAGCAGUUUUUCAAGGUGUUCAAGCAAGUGUCACUAUGUUUACUGCUAUUGAACAUGAGGUUGAUGGGGCAAUUGGAUCCUGUCUGAAGUACGCUCCAGACAGACAAGGAGGUGGAGGACGACGAACUAUUUACACAAGUUAAUUAACAUACAUCUCUAAACUUAUAAAUUAACAAUGUGUCAUUUUAAUAAUUUAAUGUGCCUUUAUCAUCCAAUACUUUUAGUGUCUGUACA
Long non-coding RNA from Mya arenaria, 466 nucleotides. RefSeq lists it as uncharacterized. Lineage: Eukaryota; Metazoa; Mollusca; Bivalvia; Myida; Myidae. The record is from RefSeq and is a predicted model, not a curated record. The transcript has 3 exons.